AGAGUUUGAUCCUGGCUCAGGAUGAACGCUGGCGGCGUGCUUAACACAUGCAAGUCGAACGGACUUUACAUGAAGCCUAGCGAAUGUAAAGUUAGUGGCGGACGGGUGAGUAACGCGUGGGUAACCUGCCGUAUACCGGGGGAUAACACUUAGAAAUAGGUGCUAAUACCGCAUAAGCGCACGGUUUCGCAUGAAACAGUGUGAAAAACUCCGGUGGUAUACGAUGGACCCGCGUCUGAUUAGCUAGUUGGUGAGGUAACGGCCCACCAAGGCGACGAUCAGUAGCCGGCCUGAGAGGGUGAACGGCCACAUUGGGACUGAGACACGGCCCAAACUCCUACGGGAGGCAGCAGUGGGGAAUAUUGGACAAUGGGGGAAACCCUGAUCCAGCGACGCCGCGUGAGUGAAGAAGUAUUUCGGUAUGUAAAGCUCUAUCAGCAGGGAAGAAAAUGACGGUACCUGACUAAGAAGCCCCGGCUAACUACGUGCCAGCAGCCGCGGUAAUACGUAGGGGGCAAGCGUUAUCCGGAUUUACUGGGUGUAAAGGGAGCGUAGACGGUUAAGCAAGUCUGAUGUGAAAACCCGGGGCUCAACUCCGGGAUUGCAUUGGAAACUGUUAAACUUGAGUGCAGGAGAGGUAAGUGGAAUUCCUAGUGUAGCGGUGAAAUGCGUAGAUAUUAGGAGGAACACCGGCGGCGAAGGCGGCUUACUGGACUGUAACUGACGUUGAGGCUCGAAAGCGUGGGGAGCAAACAGGAUUAGAUACCCUGGUAGUCCACGCGGUAAACGAUGAAUACUAGGUGUUGGGAGACAAAAGUCUUUCGGUGCCGCAGCAAACGCAAUAAGUAUUCCACCUGGGGAGUACGUUCGCAAGAAUGAAACUCAAAGGAAUUGACGGGGACCCGCACAAGCGGUGGAGCAUGUGGUUUAAUUCGAAGCAACGCGAAGAACCUUACCAAAUCUUGACAUCCUGAUGACCAUCCGGGUAACGCCGGACUCUCUUCGGAGCAUCAGAGACAGGUGGUGCAUGGUUGCCGUCAGCUCGUGUCGUGAGAUGUUGGGUUAAGUCCCGCAACGAGCGCAACCCCUAUUCUCAGUAGCCAGCGGUCCGGCCGGGCACUCUGGGGAGACUGCCAGGGAUAACCUGGAGGAAGGCGGGGACGACGUCAAAUCAUCAUGCCCCUUACGGUCUGGGCUACACACGUGCUACAAUGGCGGUCACAAAGGGAAGCGAGCCUGCGAGGGGGAGCAAAUCCCAAAAAAGCCGUCCCAGUUCGGAUUGUAGUCUGCAACUCGACUGCAUGAAGCUGGAAUCGCUAGUAAUCGCGAAUCAGAAUGUCGCGGUGAAUACGUUCCCGGGUCUUGUACACACCGCCCGUCACGCCAUGGGAGUUGGAUAUGCCCGAAGUCAGUGACCUAACCCUUUCAGAAGACACAAACCGCGAGGGUUGCAGAACGGAGUUCUGCAACAUCCGAAAAAAGAAUACGGAAACGUGUGUCUUGUGAAAGGGGGAGGAGCUGCCGAAGGUGGAGCCAAUGACUGGGGUGAAGUCGUAACAAGGUAGCCGUAUCGGAAGGUGCGGCUGGAACACCUCCUU
This 1598-nucleotide ribosomal RNA is filed under the name uncultured Lachnospiraceae bacterium. Its description in RNAcentral is "bacterial SSU rRNA". It matches the Rfam family "Bacterial small subunit ribosomal RNA". Lineage: Bacteria; Bacillati; Bacillota; Clostridia; Lachnospirales; Lachnospiraceae. The record is from RNAcentral.